Molecule: ribosomal RNA, 430 nt
Filed under: uncultured bacterium
Lineage: Bacteria
Description: bacterial SSU rRNA
Rfam family: Bacterial small subunit ribosomal RNA
Source: RNAcentral
GUUUGAUCCUGGCUCAGAGCGAACGCUGGCGGCGUGCUUAACACAUGCAAGUCGAGUGCGCAGCUUUCUGUAGCAAUACAGGAAGUGGGCGCACGGCGCACGGGUGAGUAACACGUGGGCAAUCUGCCCUCGGAUGGGGGAUAACUCGUCGAAAGGCGAGCUAAUACCGCAUGACAUUCCGAAGACUACGGUCUUUGGAUUCAAAGGCCGCAAGGCCGUCUGAGGAGGAGCCCGCGCCCGAUUAGCUAGUUGGUGAGGUAACGGCUCACCAAGGCAUUGAUCGGUAGCCGGACUGAGAGGUUGGCCGGCCACACUGGAACUGAGACACGGUCCAGACUCCUACGGGAGGCAGCAGUGGGGAAUCUUGCGCAAUGGGCGAAAGCCUGACGCAGCAACGCCGCGUGGGGGAUGAAGCUUCUCGGAGUGUAAA